AAAAAAGAAAAGGGAACCAGGAUUGCACUGGACAGUGCAUUCAUUAUUGACAGUUAGUGCCCAGGCACCUUGACUUGUGCUGUGCCUUCCUUCAAAAGUGAGUGAAAAAGAUGGGGUGCCUGGGUGGCUCAGUCACUGAAGUGUCGGCUCUUGAUUUCAGCUCAGGCUGUGAUCUCAGGGUGGCAGGAUCAAGCCCUAUGUCAGGCUCUGCCCUGGGCAUGGAGUCUGCUUAAGAUUCUCCCUCUCCCUCUGUCCCUCCCCCCAGCUCUCUCUCUUUCUCCCCCUCUCUAAAACAACAACAAAAAAGUGAGUGAAAAAGAAAUUAUAAUAAUAAACCUUUAUACGGUGUUUAAUGAUUGUCAUGUCUUGUUCUUUAUAUAAUCCCUGUAACAACCUUGUAGAGUGAGUGCUAAUGUUAUAUUCUCAUUUUUGCAGAUGAGAACAGUUAAGGCACAAGAACACAGAGGCAAAGUCUGGUUACAGAGUACUUGGUCAGAGCCACUACACUCUAUUUCCUCAUAACCUGUACUCCCUCUCCACUGUGAGUCUACUGAAGCAGGGUGCAUGUGUCUGUGUGUUGGGUGUCAGAGGGCACUGGCAAGAAGGCAGGGGUGCCUUUGGGGGAGUGUGUCUACCAGUGUCUGCAUCACCUGGAGUCCUGCCACAAAUGCAGAGAGACUUCUCCUAGAAGUGUUAACCAGCUGGACCUCUGUUUAACAACUUCUGUGAAGUAUUGUACUCUGAAAGCCUGCUUGAUGGAUGGAGCUGUCAGCA
Molecule: long non-coding RNA, 774 nt
Organism: Vulpes vulpes (red fox)
Lineage: Eukaryota; Metazoa; Chordata; Mammalia; Carnivora; Canidae
Source: Ensembl